GAUGAACGCUGGCGGCGUGCCUAAUACAUGCAAGUCGAGCGAACAGACGAGUAGCUUUCUCCUCUGACGUUAGCGGCGGAAGUGUUAGUAACACGUGGAUAACCUACCUAUAAGACUGGGAUAACUUCGGGAAACCGUAGCGAAUACCGGAUAAUAUAUUGAACCGCAUGGUUCAAUAGUGAAAGACGGUUUUGCUGUUACUUAUAGAUGGAUCCGCGCCGCAUUAGCUAGUUGGUAAGGUAACGGCUUACCAAGGCAACGAUGCGUAGCCGAACUGAGAGGGUGAUCGGCCACACUGGAACUGAGACACGGUCCAGACUCCUACGGGAGGCAGCAGUAGGGAAUCUUCCGCAAUGGGCGCAAGCCUGACGGAGCAACGCCGCGUGAGUGAUGAAGGUCUUCGGAUCGUAAAACUCUGUUAUUAGGGAAGAAAAAAUGUGUAAGUAACUAUGCACGUCUUGACGGUACCUAAUCAGAAAGCAACGGCUAACUACGUG
Molecule: ribosomal RNA, 497 nt
Filed under: uncultured bacterium
Lineage: Bacteria
Description: partial 16S ribosomal RNA
Rfam family: Bacterial small subunit ribosomal RNA
Source: RNAcentral